UAGAGUGUUCAAAGCAGGCCUUUGCUCGAAUACAUUAGCAUGGAAUAAUAGAAUAGGACUUUAGUUCUCCUUUGUUGGUUUGUAGGGACUGAAGUAAUGAUUAAUAGGGAUAGUUGGGGGCAUUAGUAUUUAAUUGUCAGAGGUGAAAUUCUCGGAUUUGUUAAAGACUAACUUAUGCGAAAGCAUUUGCCAAGGAUGUUUUCAUUAAUCAAGAACGAAAGUUAGGGGAUCAAAGACGAUCAGAUACCGUCCUAGUCUUAACCAUAAACUAUGCCGACUAGGGAUCGGAGGCGCGCUAUAUCCGCCUUCGGCGCCUUACGGGAAAC
RNAcentral lists this ribosomal RNA (326 nucleotides) under uncultured Glomus. RNAcentral describes it as "SSU rRNA". It matches the Rfam family "Eukaryotic small subunit ribosomal RNA", at positions 767 to 1098 of the family's 1831-position model. Lineage: Eukaryota; Fungi; Glomeromycota; Glomeromycetes; Glomerales; Glomeraceae. The record is from RNAcentral.